GCACGGUAGCUUUACCAAUUAGCAGCACUAAUCUUUAAUUAAUACAAAUCAAACUCAUCAAUUAUCAAAUUUCAAGAACAUCGUUAAACUCGUUGUCAAACACAAAUUUAAAUUCGAAUCAAUUAUACUAAAGACAAAUUCAUGAAAUGCUAUCAAAAUUUCCAACUUAAAAAUUGUGUUGACCAACUAAAUUACGACAAUACCCUUUAGUUUCAUCAGCAGAAAAUUAUAAAAAAAAAAUUUCCAAAUGUCCAAUGAUCGCAGCCGCAGGUAUUUCGCAGUUUGAACACAGACAAUGAGACAACUCAACAAACAAGGGCUAGCUUUGGCUUACCAUUUCCCCGCAAAUAAGAUCCUACCACAUAAGCACCGCGGACCACUUGACAUGGGACCCGUCCCACGUGGGAUAAUCAAAACCGUAAAAUUCCACUCAAUAUCCAUGGAUGAUCUCAGAGCAC
This 458-nucleotide unclassified non-coding RNA is filed under the name Hevea brasiliensis (rubber tree). Lineage: Eukaryota; Viridiplantae; Streptophyta; Magnoliopsida; Malpighiales; Euphorbiaceae. The record is from RNAcentral.